Molecule: long non-coding RNA, 1359 nt
Organism: Pseudophryne corroboree (corroboree frog)
Lineage: Eukaryota; Metazoa; Chordata; Amphibia; Anura; Myobatrachidae
Exons: 3
Source: RefSeq, a predicted model, not a curated record
GCGGUUGAUAACAGUUGGGCGGCCGCGGCAUCUGUGCAUUGAUGUCAGUGUGAAUGUAACCCUUCAGCAGCGGCUCUAUGCACAUAGAGUAAGCAGCGUCCUGCCGGCUAUUGUUACAGUGCUUCUAGCUCCUCUCCACGCAGGGGCGUCUGAACGGGGAAGGGGGGGGGAGUUGGCAGAGAGAGGCACCUGUCUACUUUAGAAGGGGAGCGGCAGACUGUCAGGUACUUAACCGCUGCCGGCUGCCGCACUGUACAGCUAAUGUGCGGCAGCAGCAGCUCCUCCUGCUUCCUAGUCUGUCCUCGGUCAGGUGGUACCGAACUCCUCCUCCAUCAGGAUGCCGCCUCCUCUCUCGCAGUGACUCCACCCCCAACCACAGUGGCCAAACGCGCACCAACAUCUCCGCCGCCGCAGGCAUGUGGCAGCGGCUUUAAUAGGCUCUAAUUCAGCAGCUGCUUUGCCCCCUCACAUUGAUGCUGGCUGCAUGUAGGGGGAGCUGCAGUGGCAGCGCGCAGCUCCUCCCGUCCCAAGCAGAUCGGUGAAAGGAAAAUAGGCAGUGUCAGCCCCUGAACUGAGGCAGUGACUGACUCCAGCAUGCCUACUUACUGUGCGACAGCCAGAAUUAUACAGAACUUUGUUGCCAUAUCCCCAAUAUUCAGAAUGGAUGCGCUGCAGAAUAUGAGCCGAUCACUCCACAAAGCCAGGAUGUCAUUCACUUAUCCGGUGCAGACAUUCAAUCACCGCUUUAGCCAUCAAUUGUUCUGCUCACUACGGAGUGACAUCUGAAUGCUAUGCAUGGUGAAUAGCAAUGUUACAGCGCUCUCUCGCUGAGCUGGUUAUUCCUUCCACUGGGCUGCAACUGUCAACGCUAUUGAAUGAAGAAGAAUUUUCCAAACUCUUCUGCAAAAUGUUGGCCCUGUUCCAAAUUAGAAAGUCAAAUUGUACAUGUUUCGUCAUUGGUGUUACUAACCCAACAACUCAUAUACUCCUUUCAGACAUAAGCCAAACCCCAUUAUUUUGCGGUACAUGUGUAUGGACUCGGGUCCUGCUUAUGUCUUAAAAAUGGUCUGAUCCGGGUUAACAUUCCCUGGUCCGCGAACCUGCAACUGACCAGUGUUAUUCCCGGGACCUGCAACCCGGGUUGUGUGUGAAAGCAGAGCCGGCCCUAACCAAUAUGAUGCCCUAGGCAAGAUUUUGGCUGGUGCCCCCUAGCACCGCCGCUAGUUCUGCAGGAGAUGCCUGACAUGAGUCAGCUGGCAGAUAUGCUACCGUUGGGCGCCUUUUGUUUACGAAAAUGCAUCUUAUUUGCAUUACUAUGUGGUUAUGAUGCACAAGCAUAUUCUGCUGAUUAAAAUGAUA